Molecule: ribosomal RNA, 453 nt
Filed under: uncultured bacterium
Lineage: Bacteria
Description: SSU rRNA
Rfam family: Bacterial small subunit ribosomal RNA
Source: RNAcentral
AGGAUAAACGCUGGCGGCGUGCCUAACACAUGCAAGUCGUACGAUCUGUAGCAAUACAGGGAGUGGCGGACUAGUGAGUAACACGUAGGAAUCUACCCCUUCGGAGGGAAUAACCAAUCGAAAGAUUGGCUAAUACCCAAGAAGUCCCGCAAGGAACAGAGUCGAAAGGCCUGGAGGGAUGAGCCUGCGGCCCAUCAGCUAGUUGGUGAGGUAAGAGCUUACCAAGGCUACGACGGGUAGGGGGCCUGAGAGGGCGUUCCCGACGCUGGAACUGAGACACGGUCCAGACGCCUACGGGUGGCAGCAGUGAGGAAUUUGGUCAAUGGGCGAAAGCCUGAACCAGCAACGCCGCGUGAAGGAUGAAGGCCCUCGGGUCGUAAACUUCUUUUAGGGGAGAAGAGAAAGGACGGUAUCCCCUGAAUAAGCCACGGCAAACUACGUGCCAGCAGCCGC